UACGGGGGGGGCAAGCGUUGUUCGGAAUUACUGGGCGUAAAGGGCUCGUAGGCGGCCAACUAAGUCAGACGUGAAAUCCCCAGGCUCAACCUGGGAACUGCGUCUGAUACUGGAUGGCUUGAAUUCGGGAGAGGGAUGCAGAAUUCCAGGUGUAGCGGUGAAAUGCUUAGAUAUCGUCAAGAACACCGAUAGCGAAGGCAGCUUACUAGGCUGUAACUGACGCUGAGGCACGAAAGUGUGGGGAGCAAACAGG
Molecule: ribosomal RNA, 253 nt
Filed under: uncultured bacterium
Lineage: Bacteria
Description: partial 16S ribosomal RNA
Rfam family: Bacterial small subunit ribosomal RNA
Source: RNAcentral